Molecule: ribosomal RNA, 746 nt
Filed under: uncultured bacterium
Lineage: Bacteria
Description: bacterial SSU rRNA
Rfam family: Bacterial small subunit ribosomal RNA
Source: RNAcentral
ACGCUGGCGGCCAGCCUACACAUGCAAGUCGAGCGGCAGCACGGGUACUUGUACCUGGUGGCGAGCGGCGGACGGGUGAGUAAUGCCUAGGAAUCUGCCUGGUAGUGGGGGAUAACGCUCGGAAACGGACGCUAAUACCGCAUACGUCCUACGGGAGAAAGCAGGGGACCUUCGGGCCUUGCGCUAUCAGAUGAGCCUAGGUCGGAUUAGCUAGUUGGUGGGGUAAUGGCUCACCAAGGCGACGAUCCGUAACUGGUCUGAGAGGAUGAUCAGUCACACUGGAACUGAGACACGGUCCAGACUCCUACGGGAGGCAGCAGUGGGGAAUAUUGGACAAUGGGCGAAAGCCUGAUCCAGCCAUGCCGCGUGUGUGAAGAAGGUCUUCGGAUUGUAAAGCACUUUAAGUUGGGAGGAAGGGCAGUUACCUAAUACGUAUCUGUUUUGACGUUACCGACAGAAUAAGCACCGGCUAACUCUGUGCCAGCAGCCGCGGUAAUACAGAGGGUGCAAGCGUUAAUCGGAAUUACUGGGCGUAAAGCGCGCGUAGGUGGUUUGUUAAGUUGAAUGUGAAAUCCCCGGGCUCAACCUGGGAACUGCAUGCAAAACUGGCAAGCUAGAGUAUGGUAGAGGGUGGUGGAAUUUCCUGUGUAGCGGUGAAAUGCGUAGAUAUAGGAAGGAACACCAGUGGCGAAGGCGACCACCUGGACUGAUACUGACACUGAGGUGCGAAAGCGUGGGGAGCAAAC